RNAcentral lists this long non-coding RNA (1642 nucleotides) under Capsicum annuum. Its description in RNAcentral is "long non-coding RNA (CANN_LNC004915)". The record is from RNAcentral. Lineage: Eukaryota; Viridiplantae; Streptophyta; Magnoliopsida; Solanales; Solanaceae.
UAGUAUCCCCUUUGAUUUGUGUUGCUAUUGAUUUUUGUUGGUGGUACUUUAAAAAAAGAGAUAGAAAUACGUCUUGUUUUUUGAAAGAUUAUCUUCAGACUAUUCCACUUUAAUUUAGAGGUACAUCCAUUAUAUAUUAAAUUAAUGAGUAUGUCUUUCCCCAAUCAUUUUAAUCAUAUUUUGUGUUUUAACAUCUAUUUGAUUGAAUGUUCACGUUUUUGUUAUGACUUAUAUAAUGGGUAGUUGACAAAACGAUCUUGUAUUCACUGACAUUUUUUUCUUUCCUUUGAAGAUAAGCUUAGAAAUUUUUAAAUUUAGUUUUCUAGUGCUUCUUUUUUCUUCUGUGUUCAAGUCAUGACUUGUGAUCUUUUUAUCUUUUAUUUCUUGCUUAAUUUCAUUUCUUUUCUUAGUUUCCUUCGGAUACUUUUUCCAGUUGUGUUUAGUAUUGAUAGAGUUCUUCAGUGAAGUGUAUGUUUUAGCUCAUAUUUUGGUUUCAAAUUAAAUCUCCUAAGGACAUUACAUUUUGGAUUUCUGUUUGAAAAUACAGAGCAUUGUAAUAAUUUUUGUUUCAUAAUUUAGUUAUCUGAAUUUCUUUCUGGAAAUUCAAAGUGUUGUCACCUUAAACUCGGGACAAAGAGGACCCUUCUUGGUUUAUUUAUCAUUAGAAUGUUUCUUGUUAUCACAUUGUGUCUUCUUAAAUGGAUUUAUAUUUGACAAGGAAACCUUGUUUUGUACAGAUCUUGGGGAUUGCAAAUUAUUUUCUUCAGAUGGAUUUUGCGCAGCACUCAUGUAUGGUGCAUCAUUCCUAAUAGGACGUGUUCUAUUAGAAGCACGCCUCUCAGUCGCCAGAGCAAAUGGCUGGGGAACAUUGUACUUUGGGUUACAACUUCCAGCAACAGAUUUGGCUACUGGUUUCACUGAAGUUCUUAGUCUUCUGUUAUCAUCUUUUACUUUUGUACUUGGUUGAUCUUGUUCUUGUCUGCUCUCAACUAGAAUUUCAGUUGUGUAUUCCUUCGUUACAUAAUACUCCCUUUCAACAUUCUCAUUCAGAAUAUCAUUUCUCUACUCCCCAGUGACAUACUCAGGUGACUGCGACACAUCUAGAUUACCGUCUAUCAAGUAAUUUGAAUCCGGGAAACACAUCUGAGUAACUUAUUUUGCCACCCUGCUCCUUUUCCAUACAAGUAUGUGUAACUUCUAACCCCAUCAACCUCCUUAACAAGAAGGUGAAAGUUUAGGUAACCAUCUAAGCUAUCAGUAAUCGAACUUGAAACACACUUUAUAAUGCAACAUCCAUCUCAUUCAAAUCCUUAAAACCAUACAAAGAAAGAUACAAGACACUAAAGAAUAGUAGCAUAUUUUGGUUUUACCUAGUGAGCUAAAAUUCAUCUGCAGUGUCGUUAUAGAUGUCCUCUUGCUUAAUAUAACGUUUAGUGCCUAUUAUUGCUGCAGUAGUUAACUUUGCUUACGCACUUUUAAACAAAUUUGUAGAUCCAAAUGUGUGUGAACGUGGAGGUGGUGGAUUGUGAUAAAUUCUAAUGUGAAACUUUGAUCUUUGUUGUUGUUGAUACAUCGAUAGUUUUGCUAGUUGAUGGGAGUUCUUACAAAGAAAGGAGAAUGAAGUUGGUACUAUAUCAUUCAA